GAGAGAGACAGAGAAAGAGAGAGAGAGGAGGCGGUGGAGGAGGAGGACUAGUGUGGGGUGGAAAGGAAGAGUGAGCGAGAGCAAGUUGAGGGGAGGGGGUGUAAGAGCCGGCGAAUUCUUUUUCUUUUUCUAUUAUUAUUUUGACGACUCCCGAGUUGCGCCCAUGCUCUUGUCAGCUUCGUUUUAGGCGUAGCAUGGCCAGGCAGAAGAAAAUGGGGCAAAGCGUGCUCCGAGCGGUCUUCUUUUUAGUCCUGGGGCUUUUGGGUCAUUCUCACGGAGGAUUCCCCAACACCAUCAGCAUAGGUGGACUUUUCAUGAGAAACACGGUGCAGGAGCACAGCGCUUUCCGCUUUGCCGUGCAGUUAUACAACACCAACCAGAACACCACCGAGAAGCCCUUCCAUUUGAAUUACCACGUAGAUCACUUGGAUUCCUCCAAUAGUUUUUCUGUGACUAAUGCUUUCUGCUCCCAGUUCUCGAGAGGAGUAUAUGCUAUCUUUGGAUUUUAUGACCAGAUGUCAAUGAACACUCUGACCUCCUUCUGUGGGGCCCUGCACACGUCCUUUGUCACGCCUAGCUUCCCCACUGACGCAGACGUGCAGUUUGUCAUCCAGAUGCGUCCAGCUUUGAAGGGCGCUAUUCUGAGUCUUCUGGGUCACUACAAGUGGGAGAAGUUUGUGUACCUCUACGAUACAGAAAGAGGAUUUUCCAUCCUCCAAGCGAUUAUGGAAGCAGCAGUGCAAAACAACUGGCAAGUGACAGCAAGGUCUGUGGGAAACAUAAAGGACGUCCAAGAAUUUAGGCGCAUCAUUGAAGAAAUGGACAGGAGGCAAGAAAAACGAUACUUGAUUGACUGCGAAGUUGAAAGGAUUAACACAAUUUUGGAACAGGUUGUGAUCCUGGGGAAACAUUCAAGAGGUUAUCACUACAUGCUUGCUAACCUGGGUUUCACCGAUAUUUUGCUAGAAAGAGUCAUGCACGGGGGAGCCAAUAUUACAGGAUUCCAGAUUGUCAACAAUGAAAACCCUAUGGUUCAGCAGUUCAUACAGCGCUGGGUGAGGCUGGAUGAAAGGGAAUUCCCCGAAGCCAAGAACGCACCGCUAAAGUACACAUCUGCAUUAACGCACGACGCAAUACUGGUCAUAGCAGAAGCUUUCCGCUAUCUGAGGAGACAGCGAGUGGAUGUGUCCCGGAGAGGCAGUGCUGGAGACUGCUUAGCAAAUCCUGCUGUGCCCUGGAGUCAAGGAAUUGAUAUCGAGAGAGCUCUGAAAAUGGUGCAAGUACAAGGAAUGACUGGAAACAUCCAAUUUGACACUUAUGGACGUAGGACAAAUUAUACCAUCGAUGUGUAUGAAAUGAAAGUCACUGGCUCUCGAAAAGCUGGCUACUGGAAUGAGUAUGAAAGGUUUGUGCCUUUCUCAGAUCAGCAAAUCAGCAAUGACAGUGCAUCCUCAGAGAACCGGACCAUAGUAGUGACUACCAUUCUGGAAUCACCAUACGUAAUGUAUAAGAAGAACCAUGAGCAACUGGAAGGAAAUGAGCGAUAUGAAGGCUAUUGUGUAGACUUAGCCUAUGAAAUAGCCAAACACGUAAGGAUCAAAUACAAAUUGUCCAUUGUCGGCGACGGGAAAUAUGGUGCAAGGGAUCCAGAGACUAAAAUAUGGAACGGCAUGGUUGGGGAACUUGUCUAUGGGAGGGCUGAUAUAGCUGUUGCUCCACUCACUAUAACGCUGGUCCGUGAAGAAGUCAUAGAUUUCUCAAAGCCGUUUAUGAGCCUGGGCAUCUCCAUCAUGAUAAAGAAGCCUCAGAAAUCAAAACCAGGCGUAUUCUCAUUUCUGGAUCCCUUGGCUUAUGAAAUCUGGAUGUGCAUCGUCUUCGCUUACAUUGGAGUCAGUGUAGUUCUUUUCCUAGUCAGCAGAUUCAGCCCUUACGAAUGGCACUUGGAAGAUAACAAUGAAGAACCUCGUGACCCACAAAGCCCUCCUGAUCCUCCAAAUGAAUUUGGAAUAUUUAACAGUCUUUGGUUUUCCUUGGGUGCCUUUAUGCAGCAAGGAUGUGAUAUUUCUCCAAGAUCACUCUCCGGGCGCAUUGUUGGAGGGGUUUGGUGGUUCUUCACCCUGAUCAUAAUUUCUUCCUAUACUGCCAAUCUUGCUGCUUUCCUGACUGUGGAGAGGAUGGUUUCUCCCAUAGAGAGCGCUGAAGACUUAGCUAAGCAGACUGAAAUUGCAUAUGGGACCCUGGACUCGGGCUCGACAAAAGAGUUUUUCAGAAGGUCCAAAAUUGCUGUCUAUGAGAAAAUGUGGUCUUACAUGAAAUCAGCAGAGCCAUCUGUGUUUACCAAAACAACAGCAGACGGAGUUGCCCGAGUGCGGAAGUCCAAGGGAAAGUUCGCCUUCCUGCUGGAGUCAACCAUGAAUGAGUACAUUGAGCAGAGAAAACCGUGUGAUACGAUGAAAGUUGGUGGAAAUCUGGAUUCCAAAGGCUAUGGUGUGGCAACCCCUAAAGGCUCAGCAUUAAGAAAUGCUGUUAACCUGGCAGUAUUAAAACUGAAUGAGCAAGGCCUCUUGGACAAAUUGAAAAACAAAUGGUGGUACGACAAAGGAGAGUGCGGCAGCGGGGGCGGUGACUCCAAGGUCAGCCUCAAUGUCACCACAACCGGGUACCCUUAGUGACGAGUAAUCGGCAAGACUGUUAUCUUAUUAUUGAGGAGAGAGCACAAGACUCACACAUCAAGUGGAAUGACCAGGUUAUUCCUCUGCCUGGCAGCUUUGGGAACCAGAAAGACUUCAGGGCACUGCCCACGUUUUUGAUCUAACUCGGGUCCCUUCUUAAACUCCCAGACAGAGGCUCCCCAUCCAUAUCCCCUCCCUCCCCUCCCACACCAGACUGCUUGCCUUAGGAAGGCCAUGGUGUGGGAUUCAAUGCCCUAGGCUUUCAAGAGCCCAAGCCUUUUUUAAGACUAUCCCCGCCUGCCUCAGAUGAGUGGUGAGAGAAAUCAAAUUCAUCUACUGAAAAGUCAGGUUACCAAGCCUUUUUUUUCCCCCUAAGGUAUGUUGGUGGCUUACAGAGCUUGGUUGGUUGACUAGAGUUGGCUUCUUCAAUUAUGUGUAUGAGUGACGAGAUGUUGUUCUCUAUAUGUGAUGGCCUAUUUAAGCUGGCCCCACUUAACUUGAAAGCAAAACAACAAGCUCGGUUUCAAGUUAAAUGGGGUCUUUCUUCAAUAGGCCACCCCAUAUAUAGACUUUGCAAAGACAUUUUGUAUAGUUAAACAAGUGCGCCGCCUAACUGUGAUAUUCUGUGUGUAUGAAUCCAUGAUUUGGCUUCUCCUUAGCCAUGUUCUUGGUUCAGGUAGGUCUAAUAGUUAUCCAGGCUACCAUCAUGAGAAAAUUCAUCUUACUUGGCAUUCCUUUGGCUCCUUAAUCCUCUUCUGGGCUAGAAAGAAUGAAUAGCUUUCAUCCAAGCAACAAGAAAUAGGGGCAAGCUCAGAAGCCACAACACCAAGUGAUGGAAGGACACAUUGGGUAAGUACAAGAGAGGACCUGAGAACAGAAUCCUCCGUGGCCCAAAGGGCAUGAGAACUAUAUUGAAGCAUGUAAGAUCCACUCUUGUACGAGCAAGAUACCAUAGGCUUCUUAAGGUGAAGAGCAGUGUUUCCCAACCACAGGCCAACAGACAGGCAAGCCAAAAAUUUUCUCCUUCAGAGACAAUGGUUACACCUCUGUUCCUCUUUCUCCCUCUCCAUUCCUCAGGAUCCUGACGGAAAAGUUAGUUUGCCAGUCUGCACUAUAAUAUAGACUUGGAAACACUGGUACAGAGCAGUUACAAAGAAAUAAAUUUAAAAACAACUUUUUUCAGCACAUAAUCUUACCAGGCGUUGGUGAGGUCUUUACUAUAAAACCUUGAUUAACCCGAACUCACCUAACUGGUACCCCAACUAACUGAACUCCCCCCCCCCCAGUACUCCACAUUGAUGAGAAAACAGCAAUAGUACCAAAAAAGAAGACUGCAAGGAAUUGAUUUUUUUUUUAAAUCACUUGCCAAGUGAUGACCUGUGGUUAGGUCACAUUCAGCUCUGUCUCCUGUAUCUUCUCUCCAUCUGGAUUGACCCGCAAACAUUAGAGAGCUGCUUCCCUGAGGCAAGAAAGUGGAUACAAGCAUUUUGAGAAAAAAAUGUUAUUGGCCAAGAAUGAAACAAAAUGAGUAUUCUUAAUGAAAUUUCCAUUCAUCCCUUAUGGAUUCCAAUUAAUCAAGGUUUUACUAUGUGUCAAAAACCAGUAACUUCCUUUCCCACCAGUAUGAACUGAUGACCUUGACAGUUUAGCCAAGCUUUUGGCUCCUUUGAGUUUUGCAAUGGCUAACCUGAUGCCUAGAGUAUUUAGCACCUUCUUCCUGGUCUUUUGCUCAUGUUUUUAGCAGACCACAGAGAACCUAAUUAUAGCAUUCAAGUGAGUUGCAGAAUGAAAAUUAAGCUGGAUUGGAUACAUUGUUCUAUGAUUCAUCGUUCAUAAUCAGCAUGGUUAAAAGGAGCCAUGGACUGUAUCAAGAUGACUCUAAAAUAUCCACAUGAUGCCAAGUACCCAGAAGUUUUCAAAUGACCAGAUGUUUGAUGUUACAUAAACAAAAAAACUGCCUGAAUUUUAACUUUUCACCCAAAUGUGUUGGUGUCAUGAAGACCCCUAAAUCUUUAGACCAGCUAUUUGCUAAUUACAACGAGCAAUCAAGCUUUUUUUUUUUUUUACCUCAGUUGAUACUGCUGCAAAGUCAAGUAACUUUAUUGCCAGCCCAUGAUUUCCACAUUAUCUGAUUUUUGAUAUGUAAAUGGAAAACUAUUUCAGUAGAUACUAAAUAUUUCCAACUUCUUUGACCAUAAUGCUACCUGCCAGGGAUCUUUCAAAUCACUUUUUUUGGUCAUUACUCCAGCCAACCUUUGAAAUGUCAACCCCUUUCUCAACUACGGAUAAUAGUAUGAUGAGUGCCGCAAAUCCAACGAUCGCUUAUUCUGUUUCUGGAUUAUCAAGGAGCUUGCCUUUAUCUUCUUCCUUCUUGCUAUCUGCUGUUUUCUGAGAGUGAGCAAGAGAAGGGGCAAGAGAUGAACUUGAAUCUGCUUUACCACUCGUUAGUGGUAAUGCCAAAAACAAAUCAAUGAAGAAGAAGGUAGAAAAGGCAGUGAAACCUCAUUAAUUUGGAGCCCUCUAAUUUAUAAUUUGUGACAAACUGGACAGGGGCUACAGUCUACAGUCUAACUUCAUCAGGGUUGUGGCCUAGAGAGGUUUGUUAAGCAAAUGGAGAGUUUAGACUAAAUUGUCAGUUGAAUUUUUCCUUAAGAGAACAAACGUUUUGCACAUGUUGGAAGCAUUUACUACAUAUAAUCAUAUUCAUUACAAAUCUAUCUGCUAAAGUAGUUCUCAGGAGGACCUCCACUAAGGCAAUGUUUUAUAGUGAGUUUGAAUUACAAAAUAGACUUAAAGUAAUAAAACUGUCAUACUUCAAACCUAUUUUGUAAUUCAACACUUUCUCAUUCAGACAUCCUUCCCCUCUGUUAGUCCAAAUCAGUGAAGUUUAACUGCAUUAGUAAAACGGCUUGAGAAUUACACUUCUUUGUUGUAUCCCAUCCCCAGUUAACAUGACAAUUGACUGUCGAAUAUACCAUCAUUAAACAAAGAGAAUGAGACCCAGAGAUGGUGAUGACUUUGAGAAGGUCACACAGCUAAUGCUGUCACAGAUCUCUGCUCAAUUUCAGGGUCACCUCUUGUGAUAAUAUUGCAGACAGCAAUUCAUCACAUCUGCUCAUCCAAUGAGCAAUGUGAAUCUGAUUGCAUGUGAUAUAUUUCCAUACAAAUCAGAUUCAUUCUCAACUACCUCGGUUACAACGAGGCAAAUGGCAUGUUUAAGCCAUGCCAGCCCUCAGUACCGAUUACUAAAGACGACAGUAAUCACAAAGCCUGACAUUUAUGAGUGCUUUUACUUUUUCACAAACACUUCCACACCUAUUAUUUCUGAAAGCAGGAGAGGGAGAAAAACCUGUGUUACUUAUCUCUCUGUCUCUCUUCUGCAACAUUUAAAUAAUGAUAAAUGGGCAAUUAUGUUAAAUUGUUGACUUUCCCCCCUUGCAUGAGACAUUACACAUUCUAAGCCUACUCUCAAAAAGUUACUAUUCUAUGGAAGGAACCAGCAACUUUUCAGGCUGUUUUAAAUGUGCAUAUGCUUAAACUAAUGAAAUAGGUUUUCAUUUUAAUUUCUGAAUACAAGGAAUUAAGACAAGGUCAGCCAGUAAGGUAGGCCCUGAACCAGACCUACAGGCUAAAACUAAAAACCAGCUUGGUUUUACCAAUUUCCUAAACCUGGGCUAACAGAGCCUAAACAAAUCAGACUUGACGUUCCUUGAUGGACUAUAAAUACGCAGGCAAGGAUCAUGGAAAUUAGAGCUGUGGUUUGGGAAUUUUUAACCUGCAAAUCACCCUUUUGUGUUAGUGCUUUAUUACAAUGUGUGUGCAAAUGCAGUAAUUAAGAGCCAGUAGGUUGUUUCAGCGAUAAACUCAGAUCACCAGGGGUUUGUGACACAGCCAGGGAAAGUCUGUUGCUGUGAAUCACAGCAGAAUGGGGAUUUAGCUGGUGAAUUACCACAUAAGCACAUCAGCCUCCCUUCACAGCUGCCUGUCUCCUCAAACUUUCCAAUUCUUCUGAUCUCCCCCCCGCCCACCCCGCGCUUCCUUCCCUUAAUCUUGGGAAAGGGACAGCAGCUUAGCUUUCGUGUGUAGUCUUACCUCACUAGAGGAGGUCUGGUCAGUGAAACAAACUAUCUGUGACUGGGUGACAAGGUGUUAUAAACCCUACUCCACCUCACCCCGGAAUUGCCCUGGCUGUAGUUCUAUCCAGGGAUUUAAAUAGACUUCCAGCAUCCAUAUUUUCCAAGGUGAAAAUCAGCACACUGUGUGCUUUGGGGAACAUUGGAACAGCAUGUUUAAAUGGAACCAUUCAGAAACCCUUGACUGCAAUGAGAGUUGCACAACAUGUGCCUUAGCUUGUAAGGUGUGUGGGGAAGUAAGGGAUGAGGAUGAGGAUGGGACAGCAGUUAAACUCCCAUUAAUUAAAUAAAUGGUUGGAUGAUCUUUAUAAUUUAUAGAACAUUGAUAGAGAAUAUUGAUGCAGUUUUAUUAUCUUUAAAUAUAGGGAUUAGAAUAAACUAGCCAACGUGAUUCUAGGAAAGAACUUAGGGAACUUGUUUUAAUAAAUUCAAAAAAUGGCUUGCAAUUAAAAUUAGUUGUGUUUUCUUUCACAUGGGUGCUUUUAAAAUACCCAAAAAGAGUUUGUUCUCUUAAGAAAUUCAAACAUGUUCCUAUUCCUUAUCACUAGCAAUCUUUUUUUAAAAUCCCGUGCAUUUGCUUAGCAAGUCUUCUACUGAAAGACAGUGAAAAAUUAUACUUUAGGACAGCCCAUUUCCAAAUGCCCUCCGCUUCCUCUUUGGUGGUGCAUAGAUGAAUGAGGUGGUACUGUGUUUUCCAUAUGUAUAAAUGAGAUCUUCAGUUUUGUGUGUAUUUCUUCUUCUUCCAUGUAUGUCUACAAUUCUCCUCUCCUAUGCCACCGUCUCUUAACCACUUCUCUUCCACACCCAGAAUUCUUUGACAUUCUUGGGCCUUGGGUAAUGGAUGUGAAUCUGCAUCUGCCUUUUACCUGCAACAAGAUGGACCUUUUAUUGGCAGGAGCCAUCCCUAAAGGUAGACAUUUUGGAUACCCAGGGUUAAGAUGGAUCCCAAUGACUCUUUAUUGACACUGUUAUGUGUGUAGGCAAGAAUCAUUACAGAUCGAUGGCACUUCCUGGGUCUUAGAAGAAGUUCCCGUGAAUCACCGAGACUGGUUUGAGAUCGAGGAGUAGGAACGCCUGUAAACCUUGCAGUAUUGAAACUCAGUGAACAAGGCAUCUUAGACAAGCUGAAAAACAAAUGGUGGUACGAUAAGGGGGAGUGUGGAGCCAAGGACUCC
Equus caballus (horse) is the source of this 7980-nucleotide non-coding RNA. Lineage: Eukaryota; Metazoa; Chordata; Mammalia; Perissodactyla; Equidae. The record is from RefSeq and is a predicted model, not a curated record.